RNAcentral lists this ribosomal RNA (576 nucleotides) under uncultured eukaryote. Its description in RNAcentral is "partial 18S ribosomal RNA". It matches the Rfam family "Eukaryotic small subunit ribosomal RNA", at positions 214 to 773 of the family's 1831-position model. The record is from RNAcentral.
GUACCAAAAACCGACGGCCGGUUCUGCCGGUCUCACUCUUGGUGACUCUGAAUAAAGUAGCGGAUCGCACGGCCUUGCGCCGGCGACGGACCAUUCAAGUGUCUGCCCUAUCAGCUUUCGAUGGUAAGUGACCUGCUUACCAUGGCUUUYACGGGUAACGGGGAAUCAGGGUUCGAUUCCGGAGAGGGAGCAUGAGAAACGGCUACCACUUCCAAGGAAGGSAGCAGGCGCGCAAAUUACCCAAUCCCGACACGGGGAGGUAGUGACSAAAAAUAACMAUGCCGCCCUCUGCGAGGGAGGUAAUUGGAAUGAGCACAAUUUACAAACCUUAGCGAGGAUCUAUUGGAGGGCAAGUCUGGUGCCAGCMGCCGCGGUAAUUCCAGCUCCAAWARCGUAUAWUAAAGUUKUUGCAGUUAAAAAGCUCSUAGUUGGAUCUCARGAGCGAGAGGCGCSGCUGGGCGCGGCCUUCGCGCAAGCGGGGUCGUCGUUCCGGCCAGCCUGAAUCGUUCCCUCCGCAGGCUCUCCGGUCGUGCUAUUAGCUUAGUGCGGCCGGCAGGUCUGCCGCUUACUUUGAAG